RNAcentral lists this ribosomal RNA (457 nucleotides) under uncultured bacterium. RNAcentral describes it as "partial 16S ribosomal RNA". It matches the Rfam family "Bacterial small subunit ribosomal RNA", at positions 338 to 795 of the family's 1533-position model. The record is from RNAcentral.
CCUACGGGUGGCAGCAGUGGGGAAUAUUGCACAAUGGGGGAAACCCUGAUGCAGCGACGCCGCGUGAGUGAAGAAGUAUUUCGGUAUGUAAAGCUCUAUCAGCAGGGAAGAAAUAGCGACCUUUGGGUCGCCAGACGGUACCUGACUACGAAGCACCGGCUAACUCCGUGCCAUCAGCCGCGGUAAUACGUAGGGGGCAAGCGUUAUCCGGAUUUACUGGGUGUAAAGGGAGCGUAAACGGCAGACCAAGUCUGAAGGGACAUGCCGGGACUUACCCCGGAACUGCUUUGGAAACGGUGCAGCUAGAGUGCAGGAGAGGUAAGUGGAAUUCCUAGUGUAGCGGUGAAAUGCGUAGAUAUUAGGAGGAACACCAGUGGCGAAGGCGGCUUACUGGACUGUAACUGACGUUGAGGCUCGAAAGCGUGGGGAGCAAACAGGAUUAGAUACCCGAGUAGUC